GAAGGCAGCCAUAUCACCCUGUAGCCCAAGACUGGUUACCCACUGAAGCUAAGCAGGGCUGAGCCUGGUCAAUACCUGGAUGGGAGACCUCCUGGGAAAACUAGUGAGGCCAGCA
Sinocyclocheilus anshuiensis is the source of this 115-nucleotide ribosomal RNA. NCBI's taxonomy places the organism in Eukaryota, Metazoa, Chordata, Actinopteri, Cypriniformes, Cyprinidae. The record is from Ensembl.